This 196-nucleotide ribosomal RNA is filed under the name uncultured crenarchaeote. RNAcentral describes it as "partial 16S ribosomal RNA". It matches the Rfam family "Archaeal small subunit ribosomal RNA", at positions 484 to 680 of the family's 1478-position model. Lineage: Archaea; Thermoproteati; Thermoproteota. The record is from RNAcentral.
CCGAGUGGUGGGGACUUUUAUUGGGCCUAAAGCGUCCGUAGCUGGCUCAUCAAGUCUUCUGUUAAAUCCAGCGACCUAAUCGUUGGGCUGCAGGAGAUACUCUUGGGCUAGGGGGCGGAGGAAGCCGACGGUACUCCCGGGGUAGGGGUGAAAUCCUAUAAUCCCCGGAGGACCACCAGUGGCGAAGGCUGUCGGC